This is a long non-coding RNA of Melozone crissalis (California towhee), 814 nucleotides long. RefSeq lists it as uncharacterized. NCBI's taxonomy places the organism in Eukaryota, Metazoa, Chordata, Aves, Passeriformes, Passerellidae. The transcript is spliced from 3 exons. The record is from RefSeq and is a predicted model, not a curated record.
CGCCCCUCUCUCCUUGCACGCUCCGCUGGUUGCGCUUCCCCAUCCGUCAGGGAAUCCAGCUCUGGGAAUCAUAUCUUUUCCUUCAGUGGUGGUGGGGUUUGGGGGGCGUGUGGCACAUUCCUGGUGUUGGGGGCUACAGGGGCUCGGCUCUCCCGGGCCCAGGAGACAGGUGAAACCCUCAGUUUGUUGGGUAGCGAAGGCAGGUAGCUCAGGAAGGAGAGUUCACGCUUGUCUCAAGCAGCCACCUGCCGCCCUGGGGACCUGGAGCAGUGGCCCAGGAGGUUGUGGAAGCUCUCUACCAAGGGAACUGCACAUGUGACAAGGUUACUGAGAGUACUGGUGCUGAUCCAUCUGGUCUGAGCCUUUUCUCUGAACAACUUCCAUAGGACAGUGCAGGACCUGCAGAGUUGUUGGGGUUUUUGGCAUUAUCCUGGACUGUUGGAGUUUUUUGGCAUUAUCCUGGACUUGAAGAGCUUGCUUUUCUUCCAAGUUUCUGAAAUUUUGGUCUUGUGCACCUUCUUCAUUAGACCAAUGCCAUGAAGUUUUAAUUCUGUCAAUCUGUCUUGUGGCAUUUUGCAUUUUACAUUGUUUACUAUAUGAGAUUGCUUAUUUCAUAAGCUUAGUGCUGGAUUGUGUGACUUAAUUGGGCAAACAACUUAUUCUCUUUCAUCAAAAAGUGAUUCUAGAUCUCCAAGCAUGGAUAACCUCUUUCAUUUUGGAUUGUAAUAAAAUCUAAUCUUACUGAUUAUUCAACCCUUUUUGAUCAUACAGAUGUUAACUCCCUGAAAGAAAUAAAUGCCACACUUUUUUCUUU